This 402-nucleotide ribosomal RNA is filed under the name bacterium. Its description in RNAcentral is "partial 16S ribosomal RNA". It matches the Rfam family "Bacterial small subunit ribosomal RNA", at positions 355 to 776 of the family's 1533-position model. The record is from RNAcentral.
UGGGGAAUUUUGCACAAUGGGGGAAACCCUGAUGCAGCGACGCCGCGUGAUUUAGAAGGCCUUCGGGUUGUAAAAAUCUUUUCUAUGGGAAGAAAAUGACAGUACCAUAGGAAUAAGGACCGGCUAAUUACGUGCCAGCAGCCGCGGUAAUACGUAAGGUCCGAGCGUUGUCCGGAAUCUUUGGGCGUAAAGGGUACGUAGGCGGGUAAGCAAGUUAGAAGUGAAAUCCUAUAGCUCAACUAUAGUAAGCUUUUAAAACUGCUCAGCUUGAGGGAUGGAAGGGAAAGUGGAAUUCCUAGUGGAGCGGUGAGAUGCGCAGAUAUUAGGAGGAAUACCGGUGGCGAAGGCGACUUUCUGGCCAUAACCUGACGCUGAGGUACGAAAGCGUGGGUAGCAAACAGG